AAGUACUUGCUAUAGCUAUCUUAAUUUGGCUUUCAAGUCAUUAUUGGAGAUCAAUAUUCAUUCAAGAUUUAACGGCACAAGGCAACCAUGUCCAAAAUUUAUCCCAGUGAGAACAAACGCAAUGAAUUGAAACCGAAAGGAGAUGAUGAUUGCCGUUUACGCCCGAGCAUGCUCACUGUGUGGAAGAGAUCAAGCAUGAGCUUCCAAGGCACUGAUGGGUUCACAGUGUUUGAUCAGCAAGGGAGAUUAGUUUUCCGUGUUGAUAAUUACUCGCGGAAUCAUCCUUGUGUUGCUGCUUCCGGUCUAGUGCUCAUGGACGGAGCUGGCAAUGCUCUGCUUUCUUUAAAACCCCAGGUAUAUAUACGUGUGUGUGUGUGUGUGUGUGUGUGUGUGUGUGUUGUGCAAAGGCUUUACAACACCGCACUUUAUGAAUCUCUGAUGAAACUUUUGUGCAUGGCUAUGGACAGAUACUGAGCAUGCAAAACCAGUGGAACGCGUACAGGGAAGAGGAUGGAUGUGGAAAGAGCAGUCCGAGGUGUAAAGUAUUUUCGAUGAGGAGCUCAUCGAUGGCGUUCUUCGGUGGCGGCAAGGAUAAGGCGGAGGUGUUCAUGGGGUCAGCAUCAGGACGAGGUAGACAACAAAGGGGGACGACGCCGGAUUUCAGGAUUGAGGGUUCUUUCAGGAAUCGAAACUGCAAGAUAAGUAAUGCGGAAGGACAAGUCGUGGCCAAGAUUGCGAGGAAGAGAGUCAUGAACUCUACCGUAAUGCUAAGCGACGACGUUUUUAGCUUAGUUAUACAACCUGGUUAUAGCAGUGAGCUUAUUAUGGCUUUUGUAAUUGUACUGGAUCGCAUCUCCACCAAGCCGUAUACUCCUGCUUUGUGUUCUUGAUGACUUUGUACUUUUUUCUUCUUUUUGUGUACACAAAAAGCCCACGUAAAUAAUUCAUACAAGUUUUGGAUUUUGCUUCCUUGGCCGUGGCCAAUGGGAAGAAGAGAUAGCUGGACAGGAGUCAUCAAAAGAUUUUGUUCACAAGCAUGCAAUAUUGCGCUUGAAUUGAUGACACGAUUGUUCAUCUUGUAAAAUAAAUAAAGAAAUCAUAUAUUUAAAUUCGAUCAGUAGUCCGGAAUCAAGGGAAGAAAUCAUCUGAAUUAAAAAAUGACAGAUUUUCCGUUAUUAUUUUAAAUUUUUGCAUUGCAAUAAUUUUCCUAAUUUCCAAGCUAAUUAAGGGAGUCAAAAUUCGAUUGGCUGAAUAUAGGUGGAGGAAAGAUUAGUUUUGUUCAUAUAUAUGUAUAUCCAGGAAUAAUAAUAUCAGAAUUUUUAAAAUAUUUGCCUUUCCAUUGCUUGUGCUUCUAUUCAUUAGUGUUAAAUUGUGGAAUUGACAAAAGACAUCUACGCAUUAAGAAUGUGGUCUAGCUACUAAUAUUUCUUUAGCGGCUGGUUAGAAGAUGAAGUGUUAAGAUAGUCGUAUACAAGUCUAUCGCACAGUCAAUGUCCUUCGUCACAGAGGAUGAACAGUAGGUUGGCGAAUCAGAUGGAAAAGCCCAUGUGUUUUUUUUUUUAGAUAAUUCCUUUAUCUGAAUCCUAAACAAAAGUGCUCUUCUCAAUCUCAGCUGAAGAGGAAAUGAGAUCAAAUUGCCAGAUAAAUGCUAAAUCUGUCGUGUUGAAAACGUUAUGUGUCAUUACAUGAAUGCUUGCCAACAAGCAUAUAACCGGCUCAACUCAACUCUAUCCUAAACUUUUAAUUAUCACCUUGGAACAAAAUUCCAAGAAUCCGGCUCUACAAAAUACAAGUACAGAAUCGCAUUGUAAGACUAACUCAGCAAUUGUAUGAUCUUGAGACUGUUCGUUGCACAAACGCCAACCCUAUUCAGUUAUCCAUAUUGCCAAUACAACAAAAAUCCGUUCUACUUGCAAGUGAUAACUACAGAAAGAAUGAGUAUGCACCCAAUGACCGGCCACGUAUGUGCACCAGAUGAUAUAUCAUCAGUCAAUCACCAGACACAAAAGUCUUGCCCUCAUAGUACCUUUUCUCGCUUGCAUUCUUUUUCUCAUUUCGUUUCUGCAGAAGAAAGAAACACAUUUUCAUUUCUCCGUGGAUUAAACAGAAAAAAACACCAACACAGCAAACAAACAAACAUUAAGCAUUUAAUGGUCAUAGCACCAAACUGCUCAAUGGACGCGUUAGAACAAGCCCAUAACUCCCAUACUAUAAUUUCGAGAAGACAAACCUAUUACGCAUACAACAGCUUUAAACAGGUUGAUUCUCCCAUCUUCAUACAUAUGUUACACUGACUUGCCAACUACUAGAACAACCAUCACAUGCUCCCCAAGGUCGGAAGAGCAGUGAAUAGGUCUUUUUUCAGGCACAUAUUAAAAGGCAAGUUUUGCAGAGGGAACUCUUUUCUUUCAGCCAAUAGUCAAGUGGCUUCUUUCUUAAAACAUGUGGUAAAAACAUGCUAAGUUGAUCAAGAGCAUCAAAUAACAAGGUUUUUGAAGGUAGGUGAACCUGAUAUGCCUCAUGAUUUGAUACAAUCCUCCUAAUUAUCGUGGCAGUAGUAAUAUCGAGUGGACUUUCCAGAACUUUGAAGAUACCCACGCUAAUUGGAAUAGCGUAUGGAUUGCCAUCAUCCUAUAUAACAAAAAUAAUCUGUCAGCGAAAAGGUGUAUCUUGGCACCACAAUAAUCAGUGGUCAACUCUUUGUAACCACAUGCAACUAGAAACUUCUACAAAAUUUACCUUCUGAAAAUCAUCGUUCUCAGCUACAGUUCCGUGGACAACUAAUGAUAUGUUGAAUGUUGUAAUCUGCAGCCCAAAAAAAAUUUAAAAAAAAAAAUCAAGUUAUAUCAUUAAUAAAGACCCAUGUCAUGACUUUGACCAGGCAUACUUGAACCAAAGAAGAAGGAAAAUUCUAAGACAUAAUCUAAUUCGAAAAAUGAGCUAGGAAAGUCCACAAGAGUCAAGAUCCUAGAAUUCAACUGAAUAGUCAAUUCUUUGCUUCUUUCCUUCAAGAUAUCUAAUAUUCUUCUCUCCGAGCCUACAGCGAAAAACAUGUUGUUGGAAAAAUUUGUUCUUUAAAAGUAUACGUGUUUAUUUAAUUGUAAUAAAUAAUUUUUUUGAUUAAUAAAAUAAAUAAGAAUUUUCUUUAAAUAUCUUAAUUGCAUUAAUAUUUUGAGUAAAAUCAAUUUAAUCAUAUUAUAUGUAUUUAUGUGAUCAAUAUGUGGAUUCACAAAAGACAUAAAUACAAGUUAUAUUAUGAUUAAAUAAAUUAAGUUUUGCAGUUGAUAAAUAAAGUACUCAAGUUUUGCAGUUGAUAAAUAAAGUUGAGUACUUUAUAUAGGUAUAGACUGUAAUAAAUUCAUUGAAUGAUUUGUCUUAAUCAUGUAUGAAUUUAUUGAUGUAGUCGUUGAGCACUUUAUUUAGGUAUAGUCUGUAAUAAAUUCAUUAAAUGAUUUGUCUUAAUCAUGUAUGAAUUUAUUGAUGUAGUACAACUAUAUUGAACAGGAUCACAAAUGAGAUUUAAUUAACUUUGUAAUAACUGUCAGACUUAUUAAAUCUCAUAGGCAUUGAUUUUACUAUACUCUUAAUCUUGAGUUAGAUAUAAUUUCAUGAUUGUAAUUGUUAUUCCAUUUGAGUUACCAAUGGGCACGACACACACUUGUAGUCAAGAUUACUCGGUAUCUUGGUGGGAGCAAUUAUGAAUAUUGGAAUUAUAGAUUAGCAAUAUAGAAUUUGUACAACACAUCUCUUGAUGAGUUUUCGGCACUUGAUCAUAAAAUUCUUUGGCCAGAGUUUGUCAACAUAUUUAAUAUGUUGAAAAUGAUAAUUAGAGAAAACCAAUAAGUAUUAAGGAACAAGAUGUAAUUAAAUUAAUUGAACAAUUAAGAUAUCAAUUUAAUUAACGAUGUGGUACAAAUGAUUGUACAGUAAAGAAAUCAAUGUGGCAUGGGUCAAAUUAUUAUUCGAGAACACUAUCCUGAAUAACAUACAAUUAUGAAGGUCAAUUCAAAUCUUUUAGAGGAGUAGAUUUUGAAUUAAAUAAUUGGGUUAGUUUAAUUAUCGGCAUAAUUAUUGUACCCACUAUUGUAUGUACUCAAAUGAUCUCCGGGUUAACUCAUUUAAUUGACUGCGUCGCUACUGGAUUAAUAAGUAAGAUAACUAGUUGUUUGGGUUAAAGCCUAAAUAUAUUAUUUAGUGGGAGACUCCAUAAAAUAUGCUUGUGUGUAAGGGUCUUAUGUUAUUUUACAAGGUGGACCCUUAUAACAAGAAGAAGUAACGUUAUUUAUGGUUUUAUUAUUUUUUUAAUUUAAAUCAAAUGUGAUUUAAUAGAAUUAAUAAAUUAAUAAAUAUGAAGCCUAAGGUUUCCAUCAAAUAGAGAUAUAAAAAUGCUUAUUUUCUCAACAAGAAAAGGUGAAGCCACAUUAUACAGAUUAUAAAAAAAAAAAAGAUUUUUCUCUAAUUUUGAGAGAAAUAUUUUCUCCUACUAGUUACUUUUUAGUGGUGAUAAAAGCGCCCACACGUCAAGUGCAGAUCAAACGUGAGUCAUAACUUGGAAAAUCAUUGGUGACAGAUCGUGAUCUAACCGGAGUAGUGGUGACAGAUCGUGAUCUAACGGUCUAGAUUACUUUAGCUAAAAAAGUAAAGUUGAAUUGUCAAUGUAUGAUUUUUUAGAUUUUGAAUUCUUAUGUAUUGUAUGAGAUCGAUCUUAAAAGUUUUUAUAAAAAUUAAAAAACUGAUUUUUCUCCCACACGUGCAAUGUGUAUAUACAAACUCUCUUGACCAUUUGAAGCUAAGGGGAAAAAAAAAAAGAGAGAUCAAGUAAUUUUAAUUUUUAGAAAAAAAGAGUUCCCACAAGAUGGAUGUGGGAAUAACCGUCCCACACAAAGAAAAAGACCCCGGUGGGAUGCCAUCUAGCACAACCACAUCACUGACAGCUAGCUAGUGCUUCCUAAAAAUUAUUAGUAGCAUCCACCAUUUCUAACUUCCAAACAUGCAUCACUCAGAGAAACUCAGACUCCAGCACCGAUUCCUUCAUGGCCAAUGCAUCUUGCACUCUUAUGCAAAGCUAACACAAGUAUUUUAGAUAACCCAGAAAUGAGUAAACUAGAUAUCACCAGAUGUAUAUAUAUUAACUAAUAAUUUCCAGGCGUAACUACACUAGUACUAUUAAUAAUAUUUUCUGAUUUUUGAUUUCUCUGAAUCAAUCAUCCAAUUUUAAUCAAUAGUCAAGAGCUAUGAAUCAACGUUUGAGAAAACAUCUUUACUGAUGAUUUAAAUCAACAUAUAGCCUGACAAUUUAAAUAUCAACAUAAAGCCUAAUAACUAGCUUACAACGAGUAACACAAAAUGAAAGAUACUUGGAAGACACAAGGAAAAUAACAAGAAGUUAACAGAGAAACUAACCAUGUUUUUAGAAACUUCCCAGGGAGCACCAAUUAUAACCUCAUCAACGUAGCGACAAGCUAAAACACUUAAACUUCUUUCGUGAAGAUUCAUGAUAGGGCGAUGAGCUCCUCUUUAGCACUGCAGAGCCAUGUGAUUAAGUUUUCCAUAACACAUGAUAAAGGUCAGAAACUUCGCUCAAUUUUUCUUAGUAUAAAAAACGACUAUAGAAUCAGGGCAAAAGUCUAACAAAAUGAAGGAUAUAGAAGGAUUUUUAAACCUGACUGUUUGAUCAUUGUGUAUCCCAACAAGAAGAAAAUCUCCAAGCCCCCGAGCAAUCCUCAAAAUAUACAACACAAGAUAAUUGGCAAGAAAUACAAAAAUAAGUGUAAAAUAACAGAGAUAAAGAUAAAUUUAAAAAAGAAAAAGACAUGAUACAACUUAACCCAUAAUAAAAUAUGCAGUUAUGACACCAUCAAUUCUGAUAAGGAACGUUUGGAUUAAUUAAUUCCGCAUAUGCAUACACACUGGUCAAUAUUUUCUAACCAUCUACCCCACAUGUUUUUAGUUGAUUAAACUAGGAAUUUUUCACAUUCCUUUUUACGAUAUGCAGUUCGUUUUGACUAUAUAAAUUAAUAUAUUUAUGACAUUAAUUAUUAUUUGAUUUUUAUUACCGUUUAUUUAAUCAAUAGAUUAUUUAGAAUACAACGAUCGAUCGACCUAAUGAUGAUGACGCUAGGGCCACUUACCUCCAUAAACUUUCCCUUCUAAAUAAAAUUAAUUAACACACACAACACACACACACAAAAUCCCAUAUGGACUACAAAGUAAUCGAAUUUUCUAUUCCCAAACAUAUUCUAGUGACCCUCUAAUCCUAAUCCUAAUCCUAAUCCUAAUCCAGGUUAAAUUUUGUUUUUAUUCAUGGUGGAUGGUUACCAAAUACCACCUGCAAUUAAAAUGCACGCGUCUUAUACUGGAUGUGAGUUUCCUUUUAAAGUGACAUUUUAUAACUUUUUUUUUUCUUAUUUUAUAUGAAGAUUUUUCUAUGAUUUUGUAUGAAAUUUUACAACCCUGAAAAUAAUAAUCUUGUGAACCCUUGGAUUUAAGUCACCAUUGGUUUAAUUUAGUAUUAUAUAUAAUAACUACUUAAUAAUAAUUACUAUGUAAUAUUGAAGUUGCUGAGUUAUUUGCAGGUUCAUAGAUAUAAUUUUAUUUUUAAGUAAUUAAAAAAUGUUUUCUAAAUCACUAAAAAUAAAAACAUUAAAUAAGCUUACACACACGCAUGUUAAUGUGUACAUGAUAAAUAUGAAUUAGAAAAUCUUCAACAACACAUGCAUGUUGAUAGAAUAGUGAUCCCUUUUAUCAUGUAUAAUUGUAACAGUAUAAUUUUAAAUACUUGAUUUUACUCAUUGGCAUUACCCCAAUCUUUACUAAUCUAGCAAGUCUUUGUGAAGAAGCGAGACAAGAUGAAAAAUAUAGAAGUUUAGAUAAACUAUAUUGUUCGUUGUUAUUAUUUAACCUUAAAUAAAAACUUUUUUGGAUAUCAUUUUGAUUAAAUUUUUAAUUAUUAAAAUUAAAAUAUCAUCCUAACUAAAUUCCAAUUUUAUCAAUCAUUGAUCAAAUCUAAUUGUAUAUAUUUAUAUCGCAAGUGAUACAGUAAUUUUUAUAACUGCUAUACAGGGAUGACAAUCAGCAUCGUCCGCAACGAGUUUACUGUUACCAAACCCACACCCGCACCCGUUGUGGGUUUUAAUUUUUUAGAAAAAUCAACUUGCUACGGGUUUUGAUAAUUACCAAACCUGCAAUGGUACCCAGAGGAUUCUCACAUUUAAAAUCACAAAUGUACAAUAUGUAAAUUUUAUAUUAAUAACCUGAAAUUCCACAAUUCUAAAUUUAAUCAAUGUAAAUAGAAAAUUAAAAUUUCAACAUUAAUUCAACAUAAACUCUCAAAUUUAAGUAUGAAAUAUAUAAAUCCAUUAAAAAAAACCACAAAUGUAAUGAAAAAUUCAUGGGUUUGCGGCUGCGGAUCACGGGUGAAAGGGAAAUGGGUGUGCGGCUGUUGCUCACAGGUGAAAGGGAAAUAGUUUGGAAGGCUAGGCUUUGCGGCUGCCGCUUAUAAGUGAAAAUGAAAUAGUUUGGGUUUCCUUUAGGUUGGGUUAUGAGUUACAACUUACACACACCACACAUGACAUGUUUACACUUUACAUUUAUUUAAUUUAUAUAUUUUUAGAUUUAAUUAUUUUUUAUUUAAAAUUACAUUGAAAAUAUUUGAGAAAAAAAAACCGCGGGUUUGGCGGAUAUCCCUGCGGCUAUCCAUCGGAUAUUUAGCUAAUACCAAACUCAGCCGCAACGUAAUGUGGGGUUCAAUUUUUAAUACUAAACUCGCCCACAACCUAUAAAAUUACCCACAACGGGCGAAUUUUGACAGGUGAAUUUAGACAAAUUUACGGGUGCCAUUGCAUCCCUACUGUAGUAUUAAAAAAUGACCCCUUAUAUAUAGAAAUAUAUCCUAGUACGGGCUACAGACAGUGACCUAAUUAGAGGAGUGCUUAUAUUUUAAUUUCAUGGAGAAAAUGAUACCACGUAGAUUAACCAAAUCAAAAAAAUUCAACUCGGUGGUUAGACGAGUUAGUGCUUUGAUGACUCAAAACCGAGGGCACUAAGCCAAGUUGGACGAUUAAUUAACAAUUAAAUCAAUAUUUUAGAGGCACUAAUACUCGUUUCCACAUGGUUAAUGUUGGAAAAAAAGACCUUGGGUGUGAUUGACCAUCUGUCAUUCAAACCCUUAUCUCGCUUGUUUUCAUUCAUAAGAUUUCACGUAGAGGAAUCAAACAUGACUACAACUGUUAUCGCCUUCAUGCUUAUGGAGGGUAUCAUUGAAUUCUUCGAGUAGCGACAAGCAGCUAAAAAAACAACCGAUUAAUAAGCUUUUACGCAUUCAACUAAAAAGCCCACAUGAAAAUAUUAGGCACAUAGUGGGUACUAGGUCUCCCGCCGCUAGCUUUGAAUUAAAUUCCCCUUUUGCGAGCAAGUUGAGAGCUAAAUUUUCAUCGUCACGACAAAUUAUUGGCCACAUGAUGCAAGGUCUAAGAAGCUUCUAUAUAUGACCAUAAAAUCUUCUUACAAUUUAUUAAUUAAGACAAUAACACUUUUAUUCUCUCUAUUACUUCUAUCAAAGAAAUUAAAAUUUUAAAUUUCAAAAGGAUCCCCAACCUUAAAAUAUAUUAUGUAUAAUAUCAAGGGUUUCAAAAUGUGUAUAAAUUAAUUUAAAAAAAAAAAAAUAGAGGUUUUAUGCGGUAUAAAUUUUAAAAUUGGAUAAAAGAAUUUACUCCUAAAAUAAAUUUUUAUGAGUAAAAUUCACAUAAGUAAUUUGAGUUUAAUAGAUAUAAAGACUGAUUAAAUUCAACCAUUCAAUAUUAGUAUUAAUAGCACUAAAUCAUAAGAAGAUUAAUUCUUUCAAUUCAUCUAUCUAUUUAUUAGAGGAUUACACAUUACUCGCAAGAGUACUGAGCAAGAUUCGGUGGGUAAAGAAAAAUAAAAACCAUUGGCAAUUUGAAAUAUAAUACAUAUAAGACAUAAAGGUCCUGGCUACUGCCCUAUGCAUGUAGGUCGUGAUUCUUGUGACUUUAGAAGUCUACUUAUGAUGUUUGGUAGUGGCUACACACGGGGGAAUAAACGAAAAUGAUGAUUUUCCUUUUCCUUAAUUCCUAGACCGCCAACUUUUUUGCGUGCCCCAACACAACUUAUAUAAACUAAAAUCAUGUGUACGCAUAACAAGCAAAAGCAGGAGCAGCAUAAAAACUAGAUAACAACCCACUUCGCAAAAAGGAGGCGCGUCCCAUUAAUAAUCAAAUUAAUUGUACAUAUUAAGAUAAUUAUAACUCAUUUAUGUCGGUAUCUUAAAUACCAAUUCAUGGAUUGGUGGUGAUGAAUAAUUUAAAGAAAAAUUAAACCAGGUCACUGAUAGCUGCAUAAAGCUGGGGGCCUGGGGAAUUAAUUGUGUAAGCCACCAACGGAGACAUAACAUCCGAGACAAAGGAACUCUCGUUCCACGCACGUCUCUCUCUUUCUCUAUAUAUAUAUACAUGUAAAUAAGAUUAAAGUACUUGCUAUAGCUAUCUUAAUUUGGCUUUCAAGUCAUUAUUGGAGAUCAAUAUUCAUUCAAGAUUUAACGGCACAAGGCAACCAUGUCCAAAAUUUAUCCCAGUGAGAACAAACGCAAUGAAUUGAAACCGAAAGGAGAUGAUGAUUGCCGUUUACGCCGAGCAUGCUCACUGUGUGGAAGAGAUCAAGCAUGAGCUUCCAAGGCACUGAUGGGUUCACAGUGUUUGAUCAGCAAGGGAGAUUAGUUUUCCGUGUUGAUAAUACUCGCGGAAUCAUCCUUGUGCUGCUUCCGGUCUAGUGCUCAUGGACGGAGCUGGCAAUGCUCUGCUUUCUUUAAAACCCCAGGUAUAUAUACGUGUGUGUGUGUGUGUGUGUGUGUGUGUGUGUGUUGUGCAAAGGCUUUACAACACCGCACUUUAUGAAUCUCUGAUGAAACUUUUGUGCAUGGCUAUGGACAGAUACUGAGCAUGCAAAACCAGUGGAACGCGUACAGGGAAGAGGAUGGAUGUGGAAAGAGCAGUCCGAGGUGUAAAAUUUUCGAUGAGGAGCUCAUCGAUGGCGUUCUUCGGUGGCGGCAAGGAUAAGGCGGAGGUGUUCAUGGGGUCAGCAUCAGGACGAGGUAGACAACAAAGGGGGACGACGCCGGAUUUCAGGAUUGAGGGUUCUUUCAGGAAUCGAAACUGCAAGAUAAGUAAUGCGGAAGGACAAGUCGUGGCCAAGAUUGCGAGGAAGAGAGUCAUGAACUCUACCGUAAUGCUAAGCGACGACGUUUUUAGCUUAGUUAUACAACCUGGUUAUAGCAGUGAGCUUAUUAUGGCUUUUGUAAUUGUACUGGAUCGCAUCUCCACCAAGCCGUAUACUCCUGCUUUGUGUUCUUGAUGACUUUGUACUUUUUUCUUCUUUUUGUGUACAAAAAGCCCACGUAAAUAAUUCAUACAAGUUUUGGAUUUUGCUUCCUUGGCCGUGGCCAAUGGGAAGAAGAGAUAGCUGGACAGGAGUCAUCAAAAGAUUUUGUUCACAAGCAUGCAAUAUUGCGCUUGAAUUGAUGACACGAAUUGUUCAUCUUGUAAAAUAAAUAAGAAAUCAUAUAUUUAAAUUCGAUCAGUAGUCCGGAAUCAAGGAAGAAAUCAUCUGAAUUAAAAAAUGACAGAUUUUCCGUUAUUUUUUUAAAUUUUUGCAUUGCAAUAAUUUUCCUAAUUUCCAAGCUAAUUAAGGGAGUCAAAAUUCGAUUGGCUGAAUAUAGGUGGAGGAAAGAUUAGUUUUGUUCAUAUAUAUGUAAUCCAGGAAUAAUAAUAUCAGAAUUUUUAAAAUAUUUGCCUUUCCAUUGCUUGUGCUCUAUUCAUUAGUGUUAAAUUGUGGAAUUGACAAAAGACAUCUACGCAUUAAGAAUGUGGUCUAGCUACUAAUAUUUCUUUAGCGGCUGGUUAGAAGAUGAAGUGUUAAGAUAGUCGUAUACAAGUCUAUCGCACAGUCAAUGUCCUUCGUCACAGAGGAUGAACAGUAGGUUGGCGAAUCAGAUGGAAAAGCCCAUGUGUUUUUUUUUUUAGAUAAUUCCUUUAUCUGAAUCCUAAACAAAAGUGCUCUUCUCAAUCUCAGCUGAAGAGGAAAUGAGAUCAAAUUGCCAGAUAAAUGCUAAAUCUGUCGUGUUGAAAACGUUAUGUGUCAUUACAUGAAUGCUUGCCAACAAGCAUAUAAACCGGCUCAACUCAACUCUAUCCUAAACUUUUAAUUAUCACCUUGGAACAAAAUUCCAAGAAUCCGGCUCUACAAAAUACAAGUACAGAAUCGCAUUGUAAGACUAACUCAGCAAUUGUAUGAUCUUGAGACUGUUCGUUGCACAAACGCCAACCCUAUUCAGUUAUCCAUAUUGCCAAUACAACAAAAAUCCGUUCUACUUGCAAGUGAUAACUACAGAAAGAAUGAGUAUGCACCCAAUGACCGGCCACGUAUGUGCACCAGAUGAUAUAUCAUCAGUCAAUCACCAGACACAAAAGUCUUGCCCUCAUAGUACCUUUUCUCGCUUGCAUUCUUUUUCUCAUUUCGUUUCUGCAGAAGAAAGAAACACAUUUUCAUUUCUCCGUGGAUUAAACAGAAAAAAACACCAACACAGCAAACAAACAAACAUUAAGCAUUUAAUGGUCAUAGCACCAAACUGCUCAAUGGACGCGUUAGAACAAGCCCAUAACUCCCAUACUAUAAUUUCGAGAAGACAAACCUAUUACGCAUACAACAGCUUUAAACAGGUUGAUUCUCCCAUCUUCAUACAUAUGUUACACUGACUUGCCAACUACUAGAACAACCAUCACAUGCUCCCAAGGUCGGAAGAGCAGUGAAUAGGUCUUUUUUCAGGCACAUAUUAAAAGGCAAGUUUUGCAGAGGGAACUCUUUUCUUUCAGCCAAUAGUCAAGUGGCUCUUUCUUAAAACAUGUGGUAAAAACAUGCUAAGUUGAUCAAGAGCAUCAAAUAACAAGGUUUUGAAGGUAGGUGAACCUGAUAUGCCUCAUGAUUUGAUACAAUCCUCCUAAUUAUCGUGGCAGUAGUAAUAUCGAGUGGACUUUCCAGAACUUUGAAGAUACCCACGCUAAUUGGAAUAGCGUAUGGAUUGCCAUCAUCCUAUAUAACAAAAUAAUCUGUCAGCGAAAAGGUGUAUCUUGGCACCACAAUAAUCAGUGGUCAACUCUUUGUAACCACAUGCAACUAGAAACUUCUACAAAAUUUACCUUCUGAAAAUCAUCGUUCUCAGCUACAGUUCCGUGGACAACUAAUGAUUAAUAAGACCCAUGUCAUGACUUUGACCAGGCAUACUUGAACCAAAGAAGAAGGAAAAUUCUAAGACAUAAUCUAAUUCGAAAAAUGAGCUAGGAAAGUCCACAAGAGUCAAGAUCCUAGAAUUCAACUGAAUAGUCAAUUCUUUGCUUCUUUCCUUCAAGAUAUCUAAUAUUCUUCUCUCCGAGCCUACAGCGAAAAACAUGUUGUUGGAAAAUUUGUUCUUUAAAAGUAUACGUGUUUAUUUAAUUGUAAUAAAUAAUUUUUUUGAUUAAUAAAAUAAAUAAGAAUUUUUCUUUAAAUAUCUUAAUUGCAUUAAUAUUUUGAGUAAAAUCAAUUUAAUCAUAUUAUAUGUAUUUAUGUGAUCAAUAUGUGGAUUCACAAAAGACAUAAAUACAAGUUAUAUUAUGAUUAAAUAAAUUAAGUUUUGCAGUUGAUAAAUAAAGUACUCAAGUUUUGCAGUUGAUAAAUAAAGUUGAGUACUUUAUAUAGGUAUAGACUGUAAUAAAUUCAUUGAAUGAUUUGUCUUAAUCAUGUAUGAAUUUAUUGAUGUAGUCGUUGAGCACUUUAUUUAGGUAUAGUCUGUAAUAAAUUCAUUAAAUGAUUUGUCUUAAUCAUGUAUGAAUUUAUUGAUGUAGUACAACUAUAUUGAACAGGAUCACAAAUGAGAUUUAAUUAACUUUGUAAUAACUGUCAGACUUAUUAAAUCUCAUAGGCAUUGAUUUUACUAUACUCUUAAUCUUGAGUUAGAUAUAAUUUCAUGAUUGUAAUUGUUAUUCCAUUUGAGUUACCAAUGGGCACGACACACACUUGUAGUCAAGAUUACUCGGUAUCUUGGUGGGAGCAAUUAUGAAUAUUGGAAUUAUAGAUUAGCAAUAUAGAAUUUGUACAACACAUCUCUUGAUGAGUUUUCGGCACUUGAUCAUAAAAUUCUUUGGCCAGAGUUUGUCAACAUAUUUAAUAUGUUGAAAAUGAUAAUUAGAGAAAACCAAUAAGUAUUAAGGAACAAGAUGUAAUUAAAUUAAUUGAACAAUUAAGAUAUCAAUUUAAUUAACGAUGUGGUACAAAUGAUUGUACAGUAAAGAAAUCAAUGUGGCAUGGGUCAAAUUAUUAUUCGAGAACACUAUCCUGAAUAACAUACAAUUAUGAAGGUCAAUUCAAAUCUUUUAGAGGAGUAGAUUUUGAAUUAAAUAAUUGGGUUAGUUUAAUUAUCGGCAUAAUUAUUGUACCCACUAUUGUAUGUACUCAAAUGAUCUCCGGGUUAACUCAUUUAAUUGACUGCGUCGCUACUGGAUUAAUAAGUAAGAUAACUAGUUGUUUGGGUUAAAGCCUAAAUAUAUUAUUUAGUGGGAGACUCCAUAAAAUAUGCUUGUGUGUAAGGGUCUUAUGUUAUUUUACAAGGUGGACCCUUAUAACAAGAAGAAGUAACGUUAUUUAUGGUUUUAUUAUUUUUUAAUUUAAAUCAAAUAUGAUUUAAUAGAAUUAAUAAAUUAAUAAAUAUGAAGCCUAGGGUUUCCAUCAAAUAGAGAUAUAAAAAGGAUAUUUUCUCAACAAGAAAAGGUGAAGCCACAUUAUACAGAUUAGAAAAAAAAAAGAUUUUUCUCUAAUUUUGAGAGAAAUAUUUUCUCCUACUAGUUACUUUUUAGUGGUGAUAAAGGCGCCUACACGUCAAGUGCAGAUCAAACGUGAGUCAUAACUUGGAAGAUCAUUGGUGACAGAUCGUGAUCUAACCGGAGUAGUGGUGACAGAUCGUGAUCUAACAGUCUAGAUUACUUUAGCGAAAAAAGUAAAGUCGAAUUGUCAAUGUAUGAUUUUUUAGAUUUUGAAUUCUUAUGUAUUGUAUGAGAUCGAUCUAAAAGUUUUUAUAAAAAUUAAAAAACUGAUUUUUCUCCCACACGUGCAAUGUGUAUAUACAAACUCUCUUGACCAUUUGAAGCUAAGGGGAAAAAAAAAGAGAGAUCAAGUAAUUUUAAUUUUUAGAAAAAAAGAGUUCCCACAAGAUGGAUGUGGGAAUAACCGUCCCACACAAAGAAAAAGACCCCGGUGGGGAUGCCAUCUAGCACAACCACAUCACUGACAGCUAGCUAGUGCUUCCUAAAAAUUAUUAGUAGCAUCCACCAUUUCUAACUUCCAAACAUGCAUCACUCAGAGAAACUCAGACUCCAGCACCGAUUCCUUCAUGGCCAAUGCAUCUUGCACUCUUAUGCAAAGCUAACACAAGUAUUUUAGAUAACCCAGAAAUGAGUAAACUAGAUAUCACCAGAUGUAUAUAUAUUAACUAAUAAUUUCAGGCGUAACUACACUAGUACUAUUAAUAAUAUCUUUCUGAUUUUUGAUUUCUCUGAAUCAAUCAUCCAAUUUUAAUCAAUAGUCAAGAGCUAUGAAUCAACGUUUGAGAAAACAUCUUUACUGAUGAUUUAAAUCAACAUAUAGCCUGACAAUUUAAAUAUCAACAUAAAGCUAAUAACUAGCUUACAACGAGUAACACAAAAUGAAAGAUACUUGGAAGACACAAGGAAAAUAACAAGAGUUAACAGAGAAACUAACCAUGUUUUUAGAAACUUCCCAGGGAGCACCAAUUAUAACCUCAUCAACGUAGCGACAAGCUAAAACACUUAAACUUCUUUCGUGAAGAUUCAUGAUAGGGCGAUGAGCUCCUCUUUUAGCACUGCAGAGCCAUGUGAUUAAGUUUCCAUAACACAUGAUAAAGGUCAGAAACUUCGCUCAAUUUUCUUAGUAUAAAACGACUAUAGAAUCAGGGCAAAGUCUAACAAAAUGAAGGAUAUAGAAGGAUUUUUAAACCUGACUGUUUGAUCAUUGUGUAUCCCAACAAGAAGAAAAUCUCCAAGCCCCCGAGCAAUCCUCAAAAUAUACAACACAAGAUAAUUGGCAAGAAAUACAAAAAUAAGUGUAAAAUAACAGAGAUAAAGAUAAAUUUAAAAAGAAAAAGACAUGAUACAACUUAACCCAUAAUAAAAUAUGCAGUUAUGACACCAUCAAUUCUGAUAAGGAACGUUUGGAUUAAUUAAUUCCGCAUAUGCAUACACACUGGUCAAUAUUUUCUAACCAUCUACCCCACAUGUUUUUAGUUGAUUAAACUAGGAAUUUUUCACAUUCCUUUUUACGAUAUGCAGUUCGUUUUGACUAUAUAAAUUAAUAUAUUUAUGACAUUAAUUAUUAUUUGAUUUUUAUUACCGUUUAUUUAAUCAAUAGAUUAUUUAGAAUACAACGAUCGAUCGACCUAAUGAUGAUGACGCUAGGGCCACUUACCUCCAUAAACUUUCCCCUUCUAAAUAAAAUUAAUUAACACACACACACACACACACAAAAUCCCAUAUGGACUACAAAGUAAUCGAAUUUUCUAUUCCCAAACAUAUUCUAGUGACCCUCUAAUCCUAAUCCUAAUCCUAAUCCUAAUCCAGGUUAAAUUUUGUUUUUAUUCAUGGUGGAUGGUUACCAAAACCACUGCAAUUAAAAUGCACGCGUCUUAUACUGGAUGUGAGUUUCCUUUUAAAGUGACAUUUUAUAACUUUUUUUUCUUAUUUUAUAUGAAGAUUUUUCUAUGAUUUUGUAUGAAAUUUUACCCAAAUAAUAAUCUUGUGAACCCUUGGAUUUAAGUCACCAUUGGUUUAAUUUAGUAUUAUAUAUAACUAACUACUUAAUAAUAAUUACUAUGUAAUAUUGAAGUUGCUGAGUUAUUUGCAGGUUCAUAGAUAUAAUUUUAUUUUUAAGUAAUUAAAAAAUGUUUUCUAAUCACUAAAAAAACAUUAACCAUAAGUGUACAUGAUAAAUAUGAAUUAGAAAAUCUUCAACAACACAUGCAUGUUGAUAGAAUAGUGAUCCCUUUUAUCAUGUAUAAUUGUAACAGUAUAAUUUUAAAUACUUGAUUUUACUCAUUGGCAUUACCCCAAUCUUUACUAAUCUAGCAAGUCUUUGUGAAGAAGCGAGACAAGAUGAAAAAUAUAGAAGUUUAGAUAAACUAUAUUUGUUCGUUGUUAUUAUUUAACCUUAAAUAAAAACUUUUUUGGAUAUCAUUUUGAUUAAAUUUUUAAUUAUUAAAAUUAAAAUAUCAUCCUAACUAAAUUCCAAUUUUAUCAAUCAUUGAUCAAAUCUAAUUGUAUAUAUUUAUAUCGCAAGUGAUACAGUAAUUUUAUAACUGCUAUACAGGGAUGACAUCAGCAUCGUCCGCAACGAGUUUACUGUUACCACCCACACCCGCACCCGUUGUGGGUUUUAAUUUUUUAGAAAAAUCAACUUGCUACGGGUUUUGAUAAUUACCAAACCUGCAAUGGUACCCAGAGGAUUCUCACAUUUAAAAUCACAAAUGUACAAUAUGUAAAUUUUAUAUUAAUAACCUGAAAUUCCACAAUUCUAAAUUUAUCAAUGUAAAUAGAAAAUUAAAAUUUCAACAUUAAUUCAACAUAAACUCUCAAAUUUAAGUAUGAAAUAUAUAAAUCCAUUAAAAAAAAACCACAAAUGUAAUGAAAAAUUCAUGGGUUUGCGGCUGCGGAUCACGGGUGAAAGGGAAAUGGGUGUGCGGCUGUUGCUCACAGGUGAAAGGGAAAUAGUUUGGAAGGCUAGGCUUUGCGGCUGCCGCUUAUAAGUGAAAAUGAAAUAGUUUGGGUUUCCUUUAGGUUGGGUUAUGAGUUACAACUUACACACACCACACAUGACAUGUUUACACUUUACAUUUAUUUAAUUUAUAUAUUUUUAGAUUUAAUUAUUUUUUUAUUUAAAAUUACAUUGAAAAUAUUUGAGAAAAAAAAACUGCGGGUUUGGCGGAUAUCCCUGCGGCUAUCCAUCGGAUAUUUAGCUAAUACCAAACUCAGCCGCAACGUAAUGUGGGGUUCAAUUUUUAAUACUAAACUCGCCCACAACCUAUAAAAUUACCCACAACGGGCGAAUUUUGACAGGUGAAUUUAGACAAAUUUACGGGUGCCAUUGCCAUCCCUACUGUAGUAUUAAAAAAUGACCCCUUAUAUAUAGAAAUAUAUCCUAGUACGGGCUACAGACAGUGACCUAAUUAGAGGAGUGCUUAUAUUUUAAUUUCAUGGAGAAAAUGAUACCACGUAGAUUAACCAAAUCAAAUAAAUUCAACUCGGUGGUUAGACGAGUUAGUGCUUUGAUGACUCAAAACCGAGGGCACUAAGCCAAGUUGGACGAUUAAUUAACAAUUAAAUCAAUAUUUUAGAGGCACUAAUACUCGUUUCCACAUGGUUAAUGUUGGAAAAAAAGACCUUGGGUGUGAUUGACCAUCUGUCAUUCAAACCCUUAUCUCGCUUGUUUUCAUUCAUAAGAUUUCACGUAGAGGAAUCAAACAUGACUACAACUGUUAUCGCUUCAUGCUUAUGGAGGGUAUCAUUGAAUUCUUCGAGUAGCGACAAGCAGCUAAAAAACAACCGAUUAAUAAGCUUUUACGCAUUCAACUAAAAAGCCCACAUGAAAUAUUAGGCACAUAGUGGGUACUAGGUCUCCCGCCGCUAGCUUUGAAUUAAAUUCCCCUUUUGCGAGCAAGUUGAGAGCUAAAUUUUCAUCGUCACGACAAAUUAUUGGUCACAUGAAUGCAAGGUCUAAGAAGCUUCUAUUGACCAUAAAAUCUUCUCACAAUUUAUUAAUUAAGAAAAUAACUGCAGUACUAUAUUGUUUGGUACAACAUUUUUAUUCUCUCUCUUCUACUUCUCUUGAAGAAAUUAAAAUUUUAAAUUUUAAAAGAAUCCCCAAACUUAAAAUAUAUUAUGUAUAAUAUCAAUGGGGGUUUCAAAAAUGUGUAUAAUUGGAUUGUAUAAAAAAAAAUAGAGAUUUUAGUGCGGUAUAGAAUUUUAAAAACUGGAUAUAAGAAUUUACUCCUAAAAUAAUUUUUAUGAAUAGAAUUCACAUAAGUAAUUUUGAGUUUAAUAGAUAUAAGACUGAUUAAAUCUCAACCAUUCAAUAUUAGUAUUAAUAGCACUUAAUCAUAAGAAGAUACUAAUUCUUUGAAUUCAUCUAUCUAUUUAUUAGAGGAUUACACAUUACUCGCAAGAGUACUAAGCAAGAUUCGGUGGGUAAAGAAAAAUAAAAACCAUUUGGCAAUUUGAAAUAUAUAUAUAGCAUAUAUAAGACAUAAAGGUCCUGGCCUACUGCCUAUGCAUGUAGGUCGUGAAUCUUGUGACUUUAGAAGUCUACUUAUGAUGUUUGGUAGUGGCUACACACGGGGGAAUAAACGAAAAUGAUGAUUUUCCUUUUCCUUAAUUCCUAGACCGCCAACUUUUUUGCGUGCCCCCAACACAACUUAUAUAAACUAAAAUCAUGUGUACGCAUAACAAGCAAAAGCAGGAGCAGCAUAAAAACUAGAUAACAACCCACUUCGCAAAAAGGAGGCGCGUCCCAUUAAUAAUCAAAUUAAUUGUACAUAUAUUAAGAUAAUUAUAACUCAUUUAUGUCGGUAUCUUAAAUACCAAUUCAUGGAUUGGUGGUGAUGAAUAAUUUAAAGAAAAAAUUAAACCAGGUCACUGAUAGCUGCAUAAAGCUGGGGGCCUGGGGAAUUAAUUGUGUAAGCCACCAACGGAGACAUAACAUCCGAGACAAAGGAACUCUCGUUCCACGCACGUCUCUCUCUUUCUCUAUAUAUAUAUACAUGUAAAUAAGAUUAAAGUACUUGCUAUAGCUAUCUUAAUUUGGCUUUCAAGUCAUUAUUGGAGAUCAAUAUUCAUUCAGAUUUAACGGCACAAGGCAACCAUGUCCAAAAUUUUAUCCCAGUGAGAACAAACGCAAUGAAUUGAAACCGAAAGGAGAUGAUGAUUGCCGUUUACGCCCGAGCAUGCUCACUGUGUGGAAGAGAUCAAGCAUGAGCUUCCAAGGCACUGAUGGGUUCACAGUGUUUGAUCAGCAAGGGAGAUUAGUUUUCCGUGUUGAUAAUUACUCGCGGAAUCAUCCUUGUGUUGCUGCUUCCGGUCUAGUGCUCAUGGACGGAGCUGGCAAUGCUCUGCUUUCUUUAAAACCCCAGGUAUAUAUACGUGUGUGUGUGUGUGUGUGUGUGUGUGUGUGUGUGUUGUGCAAAGGCUUUACAACACCGCACUUUAUGAAUCUCUGAUGAAACUUUUGUGCAUGGCUAUGGACAGAUACUGAGCAUGCAAAACCAGUGGAACGCGUACAGGGAAGAGGAUGGAUGUGGAAAGAGCAGUCCGAGGUGUAAAGUAUUUUCGAUGAGGAGCUCAUCGAUGGCGUUCUUCGGUGGCGGCAAGGAUAAGGCGGAGGUGUUCAUGGGGUCAGCAUCAGGACGAGGUAGACAACAAAGGGGGACGACGCCGGAUUUCAGGAUUGAGGUUCUUUCAGGAAUCGAAACUGCAAGAUAAGUAAUGCGGAAGGACAAGUCGUGGCCAAGAUUGCGAGGAAGAGAGUCAUGAACUCUACCGUAAUGCUAAGCGACGACGUUUUUAGCUUAGUUAUACAACCUGGUUAUAGCAGUGAGCUUAUUAUGGCUUUUGUAAUUGUACUGGAUCGCAUCUCCACCAAGCCGUAUACUCCUGCUUUGUGUUCUUGAUGACUUUGUACUUUUUUCUUCUUUUUGUGUACACAAAAAGCCCACGUAAAUAAUUCAUACAAGUUUUGGAUUUUGCUUCCUUGGCCGUGGCCAAUGGGAAGAAGAGAUAGCUGGACAGGAGUCAUCAAAAGAUUUUGUUCACAAGCAUGCAAUAUUGCGCUUGAAUUGAUGACACGAUUGUUCAUCUUGUAAAAUAAAUAAAGAAAUCAUAUAUUUAAAUUCGAUCAGUAGUCCGGAAUCAAGGGAAG
This 20019-nucleotide long non-coding RNA is filed under the name Citrus maxima (pomelo). RNAcentral's name for it is "long non-coding RNA (CMAX_LNC002819)". Lineage: Eukaryota; Viridiplantae; Streptophyta; Magnoliopsida; Sapindales; Rutaceae. The record is from RNAcentral.